CUGUAAAUAUUGAUCAAUUGCAUUUAAUAUUUUGGCUUUGAUCAUCAUGCAUGUGAAUCUUCUUGUUUGCAGUCUUUAGUGACAUCUGGUGGAGAGGGACACCAGAAAUUAGGUCAUUUUGGGAGGCGCUGGUUCCUGAUUAUGUUCACCUGAGUACUGCGCUGCUGCCAAACCCUUUCCAGUUUCAAGAGCUCACGGCGACAGCUUUUUUCAAUAUACAAUGGAUAUAGUGAGUUUUGUGAAGUACAUGGUGUGUCCCGUGAAAAUGAACAGGACGGAGAUGAUGACAAGGAUGCCGAAGUGUUGUGGCUGGGGUGCAGAGAUGACCAUGAGGAAGUGCAGCAGGUCCAUCAGGUAGUUCAUAGAACUCUGGACUCCAUUCACC
Long non-coding RNA from Rhinichthys klamathensis goyatoka, 385 nucleotides. RefSeq lists it as uncharacterized. The transcript is spliced from 3 exons. The record is from RefSeq and is a predicted model, not a curated record. NCBI's taxonomy places the organism in Eukaryota, Metazoa, Chordata, Actinopteri, Cypriniformes, Leuciscidae.